This 281-nucleotide ribosomal RNA is filed under the name Penicillium thomii. Its description in RNAcentral is "partial 28S ribosomal RNA". It matches the Rfam family "Eukaryotic large subunit ribosomal RNA", at positions 351 to 650 of the family's 3401-position model. Lineage: Eukaryota; Fungi; Ascomycota; Eurotiomycetes; Eurotiales; Aspergillaceae. The record is from RNAcentral. RNAcentral also lists the same sequence under 1 other name.
GAGUGAUCGAAAGAUGAAAAGCACUUUGAAAAGAGAGUUAAAAAGCACGUGAAAUUGUUGAAAGGGAAGCGCUUGCGAUCAGACUCGCCUUGGGGGUUCAGCCGGCAUUCGUGCCGGUGUACUUCCCCCAGGGCGGGCCAGCGUCGGUUUGGGUGGCUGGUCAAAGGCCCUUGGAAUGUAACGCCUCUCGGGGCGUCUUAUAGCCAAGGGUGCCAUGCAGCCUACCUGGACCGAGGAACGCGCUUCGGCUCGGACGCUGGCAUAAUGGUCGUAAGCGACCC